AUGACUAAGCUUAUGCACCUCCUUCGAGCAAAAGCACUACUCCUUUGCCUACUCAUCUCCCAAACAGCAUCCACUUCCCAUGGUCAAGCGAGUGAAUCAGAGGCUUGCCUUAGCAGUGAGCGAGAUGCGCUCCUGUCCUUCAAGGCGAGCCUCUUCGACCCUGCUGGCCAUCUCUCGUCAUGGCGCCGUGGCAACAACUGUUGUCAAUGGAAGGGUGUUCGAUGCAGCAAUCGAACUGGCCAUAUAAUCAAACUCAACCUCCGCAACAUCGACAUGGAUACUGGUGGCUAUCCGAACAUGAGCAGAUCAUUGAGCUUGUCGGCAGGAGAGAUGAGCUCCUCUUUGGCUACUUUGCAACACCUAAGGUAUCUUGAUCUGAGCCAUAAUGACUUCACCGGCACAAGCAUACCUGUUUUCAUGGGUUCCCUCGGCAAAUUAAGUGGAUCUUGCAUGGUUGCCACGCCUCUCUUUGUU
Molecule: ribosomal RNA, 474 nt
Filed under: Triticum aestivum (bread wheat)
Lineage: Eukaryota; Viridiplantae; Streptophyta; Magnoliopsida; Poales; Poaceae
Description: partial small subunit ribosomal RNA
Source: RNAcentral